RNAcentral lists this small RNA (29 nucleotides) under Bombyx mori (domestic silkworm). RNAcentral describes it as "ovarian small RNA-11125". Lineage: Eukaryota; Metazoa; Arthropoda; Insecta; Lepidoptera; Bombycidae. The record is from RNAcentral.
ACAGUAUCUAACAGCCCUAUCGCUGGCUA